Long non-coding RNA from Pan paniscus (pygmy chimpanzee), 347 nucleotides. The record is from Ensembl. NCBI's taxonomy places the organism in Eukaryota, Metazoa, Chordata, Mammalia, Primates, Hominidae.
GAAACAAUCAUUCAUUUUAUUCCUAUUUUACAGAGGAGGAAAUUGAGAUUCACUGAAGGAGAAAGAUUACACUUCUUUCACUUCGGCCUGAGCUAAGAAAAAUGUGCUUCUGUUUAUUCCCCCAAGAUGACAACUUAAGUCUUUGAGUCUAUCAGUUCCAGGCAAGGGUCAAGCUCCACAGGACCAGCCAUCAGGGAAAUAACAUGACUUGUUAUUUCCAGACUAUGUUCAGAACAGCUGGUCAUGCUCCCUCUCUCGGACAAUAGAACUUGAAUGAGUCUAAAGAGGCCCAGAGCUUCAAAACAAAAAGUUUACCGGUAGGAGUGAAGGUAAGAUAAUGUCACUGC